This 545-nucleotide ribosomal RNA is filed under the name uncultured bacterium. RNAcentral describes it as "bacterial SSU rRNA". It matches the Rfam family "Bacterial small subunit ribosomal RNA", at positions 777 to 1320 of the family's 1533-position model. The record is from RNAcentral.
AAUAGAUACCCCGGUAGUCCACCCCGUAAACGUUGGGAACUAGUUGUGGGGUCCUUUCCACGGAUUCCGUGACGCAGCUAACGCAUUAAGUUCCCCGCCUGGGGAGUACGGCCGCAAGGCUAAAACUCAAAGGAAUUGACGGGGACCCGCACAAGCGGCGGAGCAUGCGAAUUAAUUCGAUGCAACGCGAAGAACCUUACCAAGGCUUGACAUACACCAGAACACCCUAGAAAUAGGGGACUCUUUGGACACUGGUGAACAGGUGGUGCAUGGUUGUCGUCAGCUCGUGUCGUGAGAUGUUGGGUUAAGUCCCGCAACGAGCGCAACCCUCGUUCUAUGUUGCCAGCACGUAAUGGUGGGAACUCAUGGGAUACUGCCGGGGUCAACUCGGAGGAAGGUGGGGAUGACGUCAAAUCAUCAUGCCCCUUAUGUCUUGGGCUUCACGCAUGCUACAAUGGCCGGUACAAAGGGCUGCAAUACCGUGAGGUGGAGCGAAUCCCAAAAAGCCGGUCCCAGUUCGGAUUGAGGUCUGCAACUCGACCUCA